GGUAUGCUUUGGUGGACACACCAACCAUCAGGUUUUCAAAAAUUACGGUUCGGUCAUGAAUGUUUGCUGUUAUGCACAUUUCAGCCACAACGGAGGGUAAAGGAAAAAAACCGAACGUGUAUGCAGUGCACUUGCAGUUGAGACGAGUAGGCGGUAAGUGAGGAAGGAGUGGGUGACUGAACAAGAUUUUCAAAAACAUCUGACAACGCAGUGUAUUACU
Molecule: long non-coding RNA, 220 nt
Filed under: Daucus carota (carrot)
Lineage: Eukaryota; Viridiplantae; Streptophyta; Magnoliopsida; Apiales; Apiaceae
Description: long non-coding RNA (DCAR_LNC002205)
Source: RNAcentral